GGGCCGUUAGCUCAGGUGGUAGAGCACCAGCCUUUUAAGCUGAGGGUCGCUGGUUCAAGUCCAGCACGGCUCACCA
RNAcentral lists this transfer RNA (76 nucleotides) under Candidatus Polarisedimenticola svalbardensis. RNAcentral describes it as "tRNA-Lys". It matches the Rfam family "tRNA". Rfam says of the family: Transfer RNA (tRNA) molecules are approximately 80 nucleotides in length. Lineage: Bacteria; Pseudomonadati; Acidobacteriota; Candidatus Polarisedimenticolia; Candidatus Polarisedimenticolales; Candidatus Polarisedimenticolaceae. RNAcentral also lists the same sequence under 1 other name. The record is from RNAcentral.